Molecule: ribosomal RNA, 419 nt
Filed under: uncultured bacterium
Lineage: Bacteria
Description: partial 16S ribosomal RNA
Rfam family: Bacterial small subunit ribosomal RNA
Source: RNAcentral
GAUAUUGGUCAAUGGGGGGAACCCUGAACCAGCCAUGCCGCGUGAGGGAUUAAGGCCCUACGGGUCGUAAACCUCUUUUGCCGGGGGAUAAAGACAGCUACGGGUAGUUGGUUGUAGGUACCCGGAGAAUAAGCAUCGGCUUACUCCGUUCCAGCAGCCGCGGUAAUAAGGAGGAUGCGAGCGUUAUCCGGAUUUAUUGGGUUUAAAGGGUGCGCAGGCGGGCGAUUAAGGCAGCGGUGAAAGGCUCGGGCUCAACCGGAGCAGUGCCGUUGAUACUGGUUGUCUUGAAUGCGGUCAAGGCCGGCGGAAUGUGGCGUGUAGCGGUGAAAUGCAUAGAUAUGCCACAGAACACCGAUAGCGAAGGCAGCUGGCCGGGCCUGCAUUGACGCUGAGGCACGAAAGCGUGGGGAUCGAACAGG